GUAGGUGAACCUGCGGAAGGAUCAUUAAUGAAACUUCAAAGUCGGCUUUUGUUAUCUGUGCUGGUGGAGACACAUGUGCACGUUGACAAAGGUCGCAAAAUCCACACACCUGUGCAUCUAUGACUCUGAGUACCGCUUUGUGUGGCUCCUCACCGGGUCUGGUACUCGAGUACUUUACACACUCUGAAUGUAAUGGAAUGUCUAUUUGUACAAUGUACAACUAAAAACAACUUUCAACAACGGAUCUCUU
Molecule: unclassified non-coding RNA, 250 nt
Filed under: plant metagenome
Description: partial contains small subunit ribosomal RNA, internal transcribed spacer 1, and 5.8S ribosomal RNA
Source: RNAcentral